Long non-coding RNA from Betta splendens (Siamese fighting fish), 1344 nucleotides. RefSeq lists it as uncharacterized. The transcript is spliced from 6 exons. The record is from RefSeq and is a predicted model, not a curated record. NCBI's taxonomy places the organism in Eukaryota, Metazoa, Chordata, Actinopteri, Anabantiformes, Osphronemidae.
GAACUGUUUGUGAUCACAAUAAAAAAGUCUCCGCUUUCGUAAACAUGAGAGAUUAACAUGGCACAGACGUUGACGGUGGAUCCAGUACAAGCGACUUUUCCACUGUUGUUUUCACGGGGCCACUGCAGCACGUUAGCUAGCAGAGCAACAGAUACAGUAGAAAAAGGAAGAAGACCUGACAGCAGGUUGGAUGGAAACACAAGCUGGAGACGUGUUUAAGGGUGCGGGAGUGAAGCUGUCCACCCAGUGUUAAGAUAGUGGAGGAGGAGCCAGUGACCAGGGUGCACUGGGUGAAGUGAACAACCUACAGUAAAAGUCAGUGCUGAAGAUGAUUGCAACAUGUCAGCCUCAUGAGGCAAGGCAUGGGGUCCCUUUUGACUGGCAAGCUGGAGAAAAGGCCCUCGGACAGCAGGAGCGUGAGAUCAGGUGGAGGCAGCUGUUGACUCAGGCAGCUUGCUCUUGGAAAAUAUGCGCCUGAGAGUCCAACCUGCGAAGCUCCGAAUCACUGAGGAGUCCAUCUACAGGGGAACGAUGCCACCGGGUCGAUUUGCUGUGAACCCAAGGAGGAGGACGACAUUCCCGCUGGGUCCAAGCAGCGUAAUGGGUUUUGCUCAUGAUGUACAGCAGAUAAAGCUGGGCUGCAGCCACUAAGAGCUGAUUCAGGCAACACUGGGCUACAAAACAGCUCUAAAUAGCAGCCAACUGUAGCUCUCCAGUACAGUGUCCACCAUCGUUGGUCUGUUCUUCACAUCACAGUAGAAUCGUGUAUGAACAUGUCUGCUAAAUGAACCAAGGCUUUAGUUCUUAGAACCUUGUUUUCUCUACAUGAUCGUAGUUCAAGUGGAGUCCAGACCUCUUCAGAUAAGAAUGUAUUAUUUGCUCAAGUCACUUUAGAAGCACUUAGAUGUGUCUUCACUUGAAUGUUCACUGCGCAGAGCCAAUAAGGCGGCGCUCACACACAAAGGCUUCCUUCCCUUUCCCCCGGUGAGUUCAGGGGCAGGAAGGAGGGAGGAGUUAGCGUUGAAGCCACCGAUUGCUUCCCCAUUGUUUUCAUUGUCUGUUCUGCUGGUGACUGUUAAUUACCGUGGUUCGGUUCCGACUUCGCCACUCCUCUGCACGUCUCACGGCUCUAGAGUAUUUGCACCUUCUUGCCCGCUUUGCCUUGACUCCCCUUUACUCUUCUGUUCCACUGGCUGCUGGUUCCAUCCCAUGUGUCCCAUGAACAUGAAACCUCUCAGUGACCGUUAAGCAGAGUCGCGUCAUUUAUACAGAUAUUGCUGUUAAUUAGUCAACGUGUCAGAGAAUAUGUGGAGGUUUGUUCGGCCCAUUAAAUUGAUGCUUCUG